This 4327-nucleotide long non-coding RNA is filed under the name Nicotiana benthamiana. Its description in RNAcentral is "long non-coding RNA (NBEN_LNC041201)". The record is from RNAcentral. Lineage: Eukaryota; Viridiplantae; Streptophyta; Magnoliopsida; Solanales; Solanaceae.
AUCUGUUAAACCAAAAUAUGCAUAGAUUAGCAUUCAAUCAAGUUGGCUUCAUCAAAGUUUUUGUCCCUAGAAUUACUCCACAGUAAGAGAUCCUCUUAUGGGGAACACAUACGAAUACAAGAUAUAAAAAAUAAGAUGAGUCAAAUGUGAAUACCAUUUUUGAACAUAGCUUUAAACCAAAUAUGAAUAUCAUCUCUAAACAUACCUGUGAAUCAAAUGUGAAUGCCAUUUCUGAACAUACUUUAAACCAAAUAUGAAUAUCAUCUUUAAACAUACCUAUAAACGAAAUAAAUAAGCACUACUUAAAGAUGUAAUAUUAUUACCUUAAAAAAAUAUUCGGAUUUGUAUGCGGUUGCUAAAUAAGCAGCAGUAUUUGCCUCGACUACAUCAUCUGUAGCUAGUUAUAUCCUAACUCUUAGUAUGGUCCAUUCUCAUAACCUUCAUCUUCCACAACUUCUUCUGUAUAUACAAAUCUCUUAGCUUUAGGUUUACUAAAAAUACUCCAUCCUUAAUUGAAAACAUCAUCACAUAGUACACCAUAUUUAUGCUUGAGAUACUUAGAUGUAAGGCUCAUGUAGUCACCCUCAAUCUCGAGUUAUUAUAUAAAAAGUCGGAGUUUAUUUUCUUUUUCCAAAUAAAUAAAACAUCAGUAGCAUACAAAUAAUUUACUUGCCUAAUGAUCUUUAUAUGCUAGAAUUAUUCAAAUUUGAAGGAAUAUAUAAAAUAUGUUCAAAAACUUAUGCGAGUCGUCGAUUACAACAAAAUGAGUCAACUUACCUGAUAGCGGAUUUGAAAUUACACCAUGUCCAGUACUCUUAGAAACAUGCACAUCUGCAAUAAUGAUAUAAUGCAAGAUAUUUUACUAAAGGAAAUUUUCAUUUGAAGUAAUUCAUUUUCUAAGGAAAGUGAAGAACUAAACUACUAAAGUAUGAGCUAGAGAAGGAAAAAUUUGUCACCAUAAUAAGUAAAAGAGAAGCAUUCAUUAAAGACCAUGUACUGUCUUGAUAUUCCUGAAUAUGGAAAUGAGAAAAAUGUUAGGAAGUCCCUGACUGAAUAAUCCGCUUUAUGUUCUCCCAUCAGCGCCGGCUCUAACGUGAUGAGGGGUAAGGCAUAGGCCUUAGGCCUGCAAAUAUUGGGGUGGGGGGCAUUUUUUAAAAAGAAUAGGCUUAUAGGUAUUUUAAAAAUGAUAUUUAGUACUUCUAAUAAAAAAUUAAAGUUGUUAAUAUAAGAGAAAAUAGAGCUCUUUUAGAUAUGUAAAUAAAGUAAUAAUUUGACAUAUUCAAAAUGAAUUGAUGUACAGUUUUCUCAACGUUUUAGUUUUACUCCUUUAUUAGAUAAUGUAUAAAAAAAUUCACUCUCCCUUUCUUAAUAUGUCCAAGUCAAUCUUUCUUUUCUCCAAUAUAAUUAUAUUUCAGAAACUCCUAUAUAUUUUCUGUCUUUCUCUUUAAUAUUCUUACUCAGUUGCUUUCUCCGAUAUUUCAUUACUCACUUUCUUUCUACAAGAUUUCAUUAUCUUCACUGUUUAACAAUAUUUUUAAGCUUCCAAUAAUUAUAUACUUCUAUUUCUCUAUAAAGUAUUAUCUAAUGUCAACAAUAUCUCAAGAAAGAUUAAAUGAGCUGGCUAUAUUAUCAAUUGAAUAAAGAUACUUAGAGAAAGUAUAAAUUAUUAACAACUUUGUAUUACAAAAAAUUAUAAGAACAUAUUUCAAAUAAAAAUGUAUACUAUAAAUUUCUUUUAAAUUUUUAGGCCUCAUAUUAAACUUUGGCCUUAGGCUCCGUAUAUCCUUGAGCGGAGCCCAUGUCUCACAUAUUAUAUUAAUUUGUGGGUCAAUCAAUUUCAACAUCAUACAAUAGAGGUAUUAAACAGAUAAUAUGGAGGGGACAUGUUGUGGGGUGUAACAGUUCAAGUAUAUAACCAACGAACAAAGAAAUGGAACUGAAUAAUUAACAUCAAUAAAAGAGAGCCAGUAAAUCGACAAUUGCACGGCACCAACCUUCGUGCUUUUACUCUCAAUUCUCACCAAAACUGUCAAAUAUAGAGCACGACAUCACCCUUCGUGCUUUCCUCACAUACUCUCACAUCAAGGCACGGAAUGAUCCUUCGUGCUCAAAUAAUAAAGAAACAUGGUACGGAAAGACCCUUCGUGCAUAAUUAUCAAGACAUGGCACGGAAAGACCAUUCGUGCAUAAUUAUCAAAACAUGGCACGGAAAGACCCUUCGUGUCGUGCUCAAAUAAUCAAGAAACAUGGAACGGAAAGGCCCUUCAUGCAUAAUUAUCAAAACACGGCACGGAAAAGCCCUUCGUGUACAAUCUCUCUUCCUCACCCAAUCACCGGUCACAACCAAUCGGGAAAACGAAUAUGCAACAAGAUUAAACAUCCCGGCAACGGAGAACAAUUCAACAAUAAGUCUCGGCAAGGGAAAACGAAUCAACAACAAGUUCGGCAAGGGAAAGAUACCACACUUCCUUCUUUAACUCAUUCGCUUCUCAACUAUCACUUUGUAAUUCAUUUAACAAGUAAUUAACUCAAUUGUUUCGCCUCUUUCGAAUUUAAAAGCAACUACGACUCACGGUCAUGCUAGAAUCGGGCGCAUAGGUAACCGUCAUCAUACCUAUACACCGACUCCAUAUAGCACAUAGCAAAUAUUGUACUAAUCUUAUUUCCUCAAACCAAAGUUAAAACAAACACUUACCUCGAAAGCUCUAAACUCAACUCACGCCUCUAGGAUAGUUUUACCCCUCGAAUUUGCCACAAAAUCGGUCGAAUCUAAUCAAAAUUUACUCAAAUGUAUCAACAAAUGCUAGUUAAAACAAUUUGAAUGCAUAAGAAUGAAUUUCCCAAAGUUUUACCUAAAAUUUCCCAAAGUGCCCCGGGGCCCACAUGGUAAAAACCGGGGUUCAAACUAAAAUCAGGUUAUCCAUUCCCCCACGAGUUCAUAUAUGUAAUUUGUUUUGAAUUCGGACCUAAACUGAGGUCCAAAUCCCUCAUUUUAAGAAAAUCUAGGUUCUACCCCAAGUCCCCAUUUUUACCCAUUAAAAGCUUUGAUUUUAAGAUGAAAUCAUGAUAAAACAUGUUAAAGAUUAAAGAAAUUGAGUGAAAGUUGACUUACAAUUGAUUUGGGAAAGAAUGAAUUAAGAGAAAAUCAACAAUGGAGGUUUGAGUUUUGAAAAUGUGAAGAAUGAAGUUUAAAACCGUCUAAGUAUAGAAUGCACAAGUGCAGAUAUAGCAAUUGCGAAGAUUUGUUCGCAAUUGCGAACUUAGCAGAAGAAAGGCGGAUCUCGCAAUUGCGAGAAAAUGUUCACAAUUGCGAACAAGACAGAAUUUGGGCAGAACUCGCAUUUGCGAGGGAAAGUUCGCAUUUGCAAAAUCAUGACUUAAGCUGGGCAAUCGCAUUUGCGAAGACCGGGCUGGUAGGAAGGGGAUCGCAUUUGCGAGUUUUUCUUCACAUUUGCGAGUUUUUCUUCGCAUUUGCGAUAAGAGCAGGCCAGGGGGGAUCUCGUAUUUGCGAGGGUGGCUUCGCAAAUGCAAAGCCCGCAGAUACCAACUGCUCCAACGUAACAAAAUGAACCUAACACCUAUCCAAAACUCACCUGAGCCCUCGGAGCUCCAACCCAAAUAUGCACACAACCUCAAAAAUAUCCUACGGACUUACUCGUGCGAUCAAAUCGAGACAACCAAAUAAAAGGUUUUCAAAGUCUCAUAAGCACAAAAAAAGAAAAAAUUACGGUGAUAACUCCUUUGGGUCAUCAUACUAAUGGUCUUCCCUCGAAUGUCAACACUCUUUAAAAAAGAGAAUAAAUUUCAAGCUAGAUUGUCCAUAAUGGUUUCAUUACUGGUUCAAGCAAUAACUAAAACUGAAAACCCAAAUUCUACUAUUACUGAGAUAAAGAAAAUAAAUAUUAAAAAAAAAGGAAAAGAAAAAAAAUCACCUUUAGAUGAGCAAUGACAUUCUGAAGUUGAUUCGCCCAAAUGGAUACUUCACUUCAGAAAUUCCCAAGACUUAAUAAAUACCAUAAAUCGUAUUCCUAGCCUGAAAACACCUUAAAAAAACUACUUAAAUUGAAACAAUGGAGCAAGACAAAAGACAUAAUCCGUGAUUCAAAAAUCAGAGCAGGAGCCAUAAAUUAGAGAAGAAGAAUAAUACUUACAAAAUGUAACUAAUAUGGACAGAAAAAUGAGAGAAAACGCAUCUGAAGGGAAGCACUCCACUAGAGAAGAAGCAGCUCAGCCGAAGGGUUGAAAAGGGAAAACCUAGGGCUAGAGGCAUAAUGGAAUUAAAAGAGGGAAAGAUUCGGAAAAUAUUUUGUAAAAGGAGGGAGAACUU